This 216-nucleotide ribosomal RNA is filed under the name uncultured bacterium. RNAcentral's name for it is "partial 16S ribosomal RNA". It matches the Rfam family "Bacterial small subunit ribosomal RNA", at positions 1285 to 1500 of the family's 1533-position model. The record is from RNAcentral.
GUCCCAGUUCGGACUGUAGUCUGCAACCCGACUACACGAAGCUGGAAUCGCUAGUAAUCGCGAAUCAGAAUGUCGCGGUGAAUACGUUCCCGGGUCUUGUACACACCGCCCGUCACACCAUGGGAGUCGGGAAUGCCCGAAGUCAGUGACCCAACCUAUAGGAGGGAGCUGCCGAAGGCAGGUCUGAUAACUGGGGUGAAGUCGUAACAAGGUAAC